CUGAAGCGCUCAGCUCACGGUGUACCGCGCUGUGUAUCCCACGCGCACAACUAUACGCACUCGCACCCACACGGCAACCUGUUGCCUACCCCACUCUCACUCCCAAAAACUCACCCUCAAGUCGUGCACCGGCAUGCCCUGCUUCCCACCCUUCCGCACUCUCGAAGGCGAGGUCCUUGACCUUCACGUGUGCUCCUCCAUCGACGCCAAGGACGCGGUGGCCCUGCUAUAUUUCUGCGGCGGGGAUGAGAAGGCCUGCGUGGUGCAGCCCUGCAGCCUCGCUCUCUCCCAGUACCAGCUGCACAUUGGCCCCCUAGGCCGCGAGGCGUGCGUGGAGGUGCCCUACAUGCUCAUCGCCACCUGGGGCAUUGCACGUGCCUCAUCCUCUGUCACCAAGGCGUUUGUGCAGGUGCAGCAGCAGGCGGAGGAGACGGCACGGACGUCGUCAGGGACGGCAGCGAUGGGUUCCACCAUCGGCAGUGGCGUGGCGUCGGCCACAAGCCCUUCCGCUACGGCUGCGGUGGCGAUGAUGACGCCGCUGCUGAGCGCACCUCCAGCGCAGGUGCCACAGCCGGUGCCGCUGCCAUCGCGGCCGCGAUACGCAGACCCCCUGCCCGCUCUCUAUGUGGUCACGCUGCAGACGAAGCACGUCUGGCAGCAUCGUCUUAUUGUGCAGUCGGAGCGCCUCCUCAAGAAUAUACGCGCACAUCUCACUCUCGUGCACUGCCUGGCACGCGUCUCUGACCUUCCGGCUUUCCGCUACGCCGAGGAGCGGCAGCGGCAGCGGCAGCAGCGGGUCGGCAGCAGCAGCAACAGCAUGAGCAGCGCGGGAGAGUCAACGGGAACGGCGGCUAUAUGGAGAACCGAGUUCGGCUGGAACCUCUAUUCGCCGCAGCGCGAGUUUACUCGUCAGCUCUGCGUCGACGCGUCUCGCCCCGCACCGGAGGUGGCCACCGAGGCAGCCCUGCAAGAGGGCCGCAUUGGCCUCCAUCAAGAUCUGCGACCUUGGUUCAGACUGGUGGACCUCCGUGACGAGGAGCGGGACGUCGGCAGCGGCGAGCGCCCCACCGACUUCCAGUACACGUGCUCCCCGACCUAUCCAUGGCUCUUCUUACAGCCAAGGCUCGUGGACCGUGAGUUGCUCCUGAGGGCGAUAGCGGCCCGCUCCCGCGCCCGUGUGCCGGCGGUGUCGUACGUGUGCCUGCGCACCGGUGCCGUUCUCGCACGCAGCUCCCAGCCUCUCAUGCGCUCGCCGCAGCUCAGCGCCGACUCGGACGUGUGCUAUACGCUGAUUAACAUGGGCUACGCGCCCCACCACGCGUACCCGCAGCGCACGACAGCGCCCGCGGCAGCGGCGUCAUCGCUUGUCCCCUCGCCCUUGGCAACGGCGCACGGCAGCUCGCCAGCCGCGGCCAACUCCCUCAAGGCGAGUCCCGUGGUAGGUGCGCCCGCCACGGUGGCGAGACCCGUUCGGCCGCCGUCUCUCUUCGACGACGACUCGGACGGCGAUGGCCAGCCGCCGUGUGCCGGAAGCACGAGUAACGCGUCCUCCACACAGCAGCUGGAGAGCACACGAGUAAACGGGAGCGGCUGCACCUCCGUCUGGGCACCACCGUCGACUGUAUCCAAGGCCGCGCGCAAGUUCACGGUGACCGCGGCUGGAGACACUGCGAACGUCGCCACCACGCCAUCGAUGGAGACCUCCCACAGUGCUGUGACGGGUGCGAGCACGAACUCGAACGCGGCCAAGAUGCUGCUAGUGGCGGACUGUCGGCCGCAGAUCACGGCCGCCGGCAACGCCCAGCUCGGCGGCGGCUACGAGUCGGGUAGCUACUACACGUUCUGUCAGACCAACUUCUUCGAGAUCGACAACAUCUUCGGUGUGGCCAAGUCGUUCGAAAAGCUACGCAGCAUGCUGGCCCGCUACCAGGGCAACACGGUGGAAAAGACUUUUCUGCGGCGGUUGUACGACUCCGACUGGCUCGCCAUCGUCCAGCGCGUACUCGUCUGCUCCGUGACGGCGGCGCAGUCGCUGCAAAACGGUGUGUCGUGUCUGGUCCACUGCACCGACGGCUGGGAUCGCACGUCACAGUGCACGGCGCUCGCGAUGCUCCUGCUGGACCCGUACUACCGCACCAUCGUGGGCUUCUGCACGCUGAUCGAGAAGGAGUUCUGCUCCUUUGGCCACAAGUUCGCAGAGCGUUCUGGACACCAGCUGCCAGGCCGCACGACCGUCUUCACUCACUCGGGUGUCGCAAGCUCCGACACGGAGCAGCAGCACGGCGGCAGUGCCCCGCGUCUGGACACGUCGCCGAUCUUCUUGAAUUUCCUGGACGCGGUGUUCCAGGUGUGCCACCAAUAUCCGACUUGCUUUGAGUUUACGCCAGAGCUGCUCGCCCACCUGUCGGAGGUUGUCUACAGCUGUCUCUACGGCACGUUCUUAUGUAACGGCGAGCAGGAGCGGCGUCUCGAGGGGGUGCGGCUGCGCACAGCCUCCGUCUGGACAGACGUCCUGCGCCGCACGCAGCGGGAGAAGGCCGGCGAGAUCCCGCUCUGCUUCGUCAACGUCCAUUACGACGCGGCGACGGCGUGGCGCUUCAUCUCGCAGCGGCGGCGCGGGCGUGGGGAUGGCGGCGCAACGGCAUUGGCGGACUUUAUGCUGCUGCCCAACUGCAGCAGCAAACGUCUCGUGUUUUGGGAGCAGCUGUACACCCGCGAAGACGCGGAUCACUACCUCAGCUACAACCCCCACGUGCACGCCGUCAAGACGACGCAGGAGGUCUCGUGGGGGCCCGAGUUCGACGGCUUCCUCGAUGCUGAGAUGGAGGAGGCGUGCGCCGAUCGGGAAAACGAAAUGGCAUCGCUGCUGGCGCUCGAGGAGUUCAUGGCAGCCGAGGCGAAUACCCCGGCGGCGCCGUCGCUCGCGGCUAACAGUGCGAGAAGUGCCUGGUGCGUCUUUGACGCCGUCAACUGCUUCAACUGCUACAAGUCCUUUGGCAUGUGGAGCACCAAGGCGCAGUGUGCGGCAUGCAAGCAGUACUUCUGCACCGACUGCCACGUGCACGACUGUAUACUGCAGCAGUACUGAGGUGCUGGGCGCGACGGCGUAUGUCGAGAGGCUCAUGCGUGCGUGGGGCAUGUCCAUUGCUUGCGAUGCAUCGUUAUCCUAUCGUACUACGGGUGCGACCCGACGAAGUGGGGGAGAGAAGAAUAAGAACACCAACAACAGCCAAAGGCGGGGCAAGGGACCGCGGCGCGAUGGCGAAGGAUGCCGAGUCGGCACAUGUACGGGACGUGCCCAGCGCAUCCUCCUGUGCCGCACUUGACAUGGCUGCCUCCUAGACGUUUUUUUGUGUGGCUGCUCACCAGCACAUGCACAUGUGUGCGUGGACGCGUCGCUCACUCUCCUCUACUUUCUCCUCCCUUGGCACGCCCCUUAUCGCACUGCACGGCAUGCGCACAACUCGUGUCCCGAAAG
RNAcentral lists this unclassified non-coding RNA (3478 nucleotides) under Leishmania donovani. RNAcentral describes it as "gene:LdHU3.20.1910(CDS-product:zinc-binding_phosp hatase_putative)". The record is from RNAcentral. Lineage: Eukaryota; Euglenozoa; Kinetoplastea; Trypanosomatida; Trypanosomatidae.